CGUGGACACAGCUCAGUAACACGUGGCUAACCUGCCCUUGGGACAGAGACACCCCGGGAAACUGGGGCUAAUCCCUGAUAGGCGAAGAACUCUGGAAUGAGUCUUCACCCAAAAGGCGUUUAGGUCAUGCUUCUAGGCGUUGCCCAAGGAUGGGGCCGCGACCGAUCAGGUUGUUGGUGAGGUAAUGGCUCACCAAGCCUAUAACCGGUGCGGGCCGUGAGAGCGGGAGCCCGGAGAUGGGCACUGAGACAAAGGCCCAGGCCCUACGGGGCGCAGCAGUCGCGAAAACUUUGCAAUACACGAAAGUGUGACAGGGUCAUCCCGAGUGCCGUCCGCUGAGGAUGGCUUACAUCCAGUCUAGAAAGCUGGAGGAAUAAGGAGAGGGCAAGUCUGGUGUCAGCCGCCGCGAUAAUACCAGCUCUCCGAGUGGUGUGGAUGUUUAUUGGGCCUAAAGCAUCCGUAGCUGGCUGGGCAAGUCCCCUGUUAAACCCACCGAUUUAAUCGUUGGUUUGCGGGGGAUACUGCUCGGCUAGGGGACGAGAGAGACCGACGGUAUUUCCGGGGUAGGGGUGAAAUCCUAUAAUCCCGGGAAGACCACCAGUGGCGAAGGCUGUCGGCUAGAACGCGCCCGACGGUGAGGGAUGAAAGCUGGGGGAGCGAACCGGAUUAGAUACCCGGGUAGUCCCGGCUGUAAACGAUGCAGGCUAGGUGUUUGGGCGGCCACGUGCCGCUCUAGUGCCGCAGGGAAGCUGUUAAGCCUGCCGCCUGGGGAGUAAGCCGCAAGGCUGAACUUAAAAGCCA
This 801-nucleotide ribosomal RNA is filed under the name uncultured soil archaeon. RNAcentral's name for it is "bacterial SSU rRNA". It matches the Rfam family "Archaeal small subunit ribosomal RNA", at positions 78 to 865 of the family's 1478-position model. The record is from RNAcentral.